CUGUCUCUUGUAGAUGACCAAUGAAACUGAUCUUGUAGUCAAAAAGCUAUAAUAAAAACACUAGACGAGAAGACCCUGUGGAGCUUCAAACCAAAACCAAAUUAAUGACCCUUUGGUUUUUAGUUGGGGCAACUUCGGAGUAUACACCAACCUCCGACAAACUAGUUAAGACAAACAAGUCUAAACAAUUUACUCGACCCAAUAGUUUACAAUAAACUACUUGACCAAUGAACCAAGUUACCCCAGGGAUAACAGCGCUAUCCCCUUUUAGAGUCCCUAUCGACAAGGGGGCUUACGACCUCGAUGUUGGAUCAGGACACCA
This 322-nucleotide ribosomal RNA is filed under the name Mesalina guttulata. Its description in RNAcentral is "partial 16S ribosomal RNA". It matches the Rfam family "Bacterial large subunit ribosomal RNA", at positions 2016 to 2547 of the family's 2925-position model. The record is from RNAcentral. Lineage: Eukaryota; Metazoa; Chordata; Lepidosauria; Squamata; Lacertidae.